This 787-nucleotide ribosomal RNA is filed under the name uncultured bacterium. RNAcentral describes it as "bacterial SSU rRNA". It matches the Rfam family "Bacterial small subunit ribosomal RNA", at positions 8 to 792 of the family's 1533-position model. The record is from RNAcentral.
AGAGUUUGAUCAUGGCUCAGAUUGAACGCUGGCGGCAUGCCUUACACAUGCAAGUCGAACGGUAACAGGUCUUCGGAUGCUGACGAGUGGCGAACGGGUGAGUAAUACAUCGGAACGUGCCCGAUCGUGGGGGAUAACGAGGCGAAAGCUUUGCUAAUACCGCAUACGAUCUACGGAUGAAAGCGGGGGAUCUUCGGACCUCGCGCGGACGGAGCGGCCGAUGGCAGAUUAGGUAGUUGGUGGGAUAAAAGCUUACCAAGCCGACGAUCUGUAGCUGGUCUGAGAGGAUGAUCAGCCACACUGGGACUGAGACACGGCCCAGACUCCUACGGGAGGCAGCAGUGGGGAAUUUUGGACAAUGGGCGAAAGCCUGAUCCAGCCAUGCCGCGUGCAGGAUGAAGGCCUUCGGGUUGUAAACUGCUUUUGUACGGAACGAAAAGCCUCUUUCUAAUAAAGAGGGGUCAUGACGGUACCGUAAGAAUAAGCACCGGCUAACUACGUGCCAGCAGCCGCGGUAAUACGUAGGGUGCAAGCGUUAAUCGGAAUUACUGGGCGCAAAGCGUGCGCAGGCGGUUUUGUAAGACAGAGGUGAAAUCCCCGGGCUCAACCUGGGAACUGCCUUUGUGACUGCAAGGCUGGAGUGCGGCAGAGGGGGAUGGAAUUCCGCGUGUAGCAGUGAAAUGCGUAGAUAUGCGGAGGAACACCGAUGGCGAAGGCAAUCCCCUGGGCCUGCACUGACGCUCAUGCACGAAAGCGUGGGGAGCAAACAGGAUUAGAUACCCCGGUA